GAAAUGCGAUAAGUAAUGUGAAUUGCAGAAUUCAGUGAAUCAUCGAAUCUUUGAACGCACAUUGCGCCCGUUAGCAUUCUAGCGGGCAUGCCUGUCCGAGCGUCAUUUCAACCCUCAGGGCCCCCCGUUCCGGCGGGCGGACCGGGCGUUGGGGAUCGGCCCGCCCCGUGCGGCGCCGUCCCCCAAAUACAGUGGCGGUCCCGCCGCAGCCUCCCCUGCGUAGUAGUUUACAACCUCGCAUCGGAGCGCGGCGCGGCCACGCCGUAAAACCCCCGACUUUCUGAACGUUGACCUCGGAUCAGGUAGGAAUACCCGCUGAACUUAAGC
Molecule: unclassified non-coding RNA, 327 nt
Filed under: plant metagenome
Description: partial contains 5.8S ribosomal RNA, internal transcribed spacer 2, and large subunit ribosomal RNA
Rfam family: 5.8S ribosomal RNA (bases 1-105)
Source: RNAcentral